UGGCGACCGGCAAACGGGUGCGGAACACGUACGCAACCUUCCCAAAACUGGGGAAUAGCCCUCCGAAAGGAGGAUUAAUACCCCGUAAGAUAAUGGAGUGGCAUCACUUUAUUAUUAUAGCUACGGCGGUUUUGGAUGGGCGUGCGCCUGAUUAGGUAGUUGGCGGGGUAACGGCCCACCAAGCCUUCGAUCAGUAACUGGUGUGAGAGCACGACCAGUCACACGGGCACUGAGACACGGGCCCG
This 245-nucleotide ribosomal RNA is filed under the name uncultured bacterium. RNAcentral's name for it is "partial 16S ribosomal RNA". It matches the Rfam family "Bacterial small subunit ribosomal RNA", at positions 89 to 334 of the family's 1533-position model. The record is from RNAcentral.